This 830-nucleotide ribosomal RNA is filed under the name Klebsiella pneumoniae subsp. pneumoniae. RNAcentral describes it as "partial 23S ribosomal RNA". It matches the Rfam family "Bacterial large subunit ribosomal RNA", at positions 1994 to 2823 of the family's 2925-position model. Lineage: Bacteria; Pseudomonadati; Pseudomonadota; Gammaproteobacteria; Enterobacterales; Enterobacteriaceae. The record is from RNAcentral.
GAAUGGCGUAAUGAUGGCCAGGCUGUCUCCACCCGAGACUCAGUGAAAUUGAACUCGCUGUGAAGAUGCAGUGUACCCGCGGCAAGACGGAAAGACCCCGUGAACCUUUACUAUAGCUUGACACUGAACAUUGAGCCUUGAUGUGUAGGAUAGGUGGGAGGCUUUGAAGCGUGGACGCCAGUCUGCGUGGAGCCAACCUUGAAAUACCACCCUUUAAUGUUUGAUGUUCUAACGUUGGCCCCUGACCGGGGUUGCGGACAGUGUCUGGUGGGUAGUUUGACUGGGGCGGUCUCCUCCCAAAGCGUAACGGAGGAGCACGAAGGUUAGCUAAUCCUGGUCGGACAUCAGGAGGUUAGUGCAAUGGCAUAAGCUAGCUUGACUGCGAGCGUGACGGCGCGAGCAGGUGCGAAAGCAGGUCAUAGUGAUCCGGUGGUUCUGAAUGGAAGGGCCAUCGCUCAACGGAUAAAAGGUACUCCGGGGAUAACAGGCUGAUACCGCCCAAGAGUUCAUAUCGACGGCGGUGUUUGGCACCUCGAUGUCGGCUCAUCACAUCCUGGGGCUGAAGUAGGUCCCAAGGGUAUGGCUGUUCGCCAUUUAAAGUGGUACGCGAGCUGGGUUUAGAACGUCGUGAGACAGUUCGGUCCCUAUCUGCCGUGGGCGCUGGAGAAUUGAGGGGGGCUGCUCCUAGUACGAGAGGACCGGAGUGGACGCAUCACUGGUGUUCGGGUUGUCAUGCCAAUGGCACUGCCCGGUAGCUAAAUGCGGAAGAGAUAAGUGCUGAAAGCAUCUAAGCACGAAACUUGCCCCGAGAUGAGUUCUCCCUGAGACUU